CCUACGGGUGGCAGCAGUGAGGAAUAUUGGUCAAUGGGCGAGAGCCUGAACCAGCCAAGUCGCGUGAGGGAAGACGGUCCUAUGGAUUGUAAACCUCUUUUGUCGGGGAGCAAAAAGGCCUCGUGAGGCCACAAGUGAGAGUACCCGAAGAAAAAGCAUCGGCUAACUCCGUGCCAGCAGCCGCGGUAAUACGGAGGAUGCGAGCGUUAUCCGGAUUUAUUGGGUUUAAAGGGUGCGUAGGCGGGCAUUUAAGCCGGCGGUCAAAUGUCGGGGCUCAACCCCGGCCUGCCGUCGGAACUGGGUGCCUUGAGUGGGCGAGAAGUAUGCGGAAUGCGUGGUGUAGCGGUGAAAUGCAUAGAUAUCACGCAGAACCCCGAUUGCGAAGGCAGCAUACCGGCGCCCUACUGACGCUGAGGCACGAAAGUGCGGGUAUCGAACAGGAUUAGAUACCCGGGUAGUC
Molecule: ribosomal RNA, 460 nt
Filed under: uncultured bacterium
Lineage: Bacteria
Description: partial 16S ribosomal RNA
Rfam family: Bacterial small subunit ribosomal RNA
Source: RNAcentral